ACUAAGAAACAAAAAGAAGAAAAAAGAAGAUGAGGGGGAACAAAAUUCCUUUCUUGUUUAUCUGUUCUUCUUUUAGUUUU
RNAcentral lists this non-coding RNA (80 nucleotides) under Climacostomum virens. The record is from RNAcentral. Lineage: Eukaryota; Ciliophora; Heterotrichea; Heterotrichida; Climacostomidae.